UUUGAAGUAAGUAGCUGCCUGAGUAAACUGCUUAAAGAAGAACCAGUGGUUACGUCUUUCUUGCUGGUCGAGUGGGACGCAACAAAUGGUGCCGAAGAAAUCCGGGACCCGAAUCCCCCACCGAAGAGGUUCAGAACUUUCUGCAGUCAGGGUCUGUCGACAGGAUGAGUACGGUAAGUAACUCAGUAUCCCGGGACUGGGAUUAGAGACAAAAAGGUUCUCGGUAAAGAGACAGUAAGGUUCUCGGUAAAGAGACAAUAAGGCUCUCUGGCUCUGGAGACAAGAAAGUGAAAGUAAGAGAGAAAGUGAAAGUAAGAGGGUAAUAGGGACAGUCUAUGGGUUAUUUUCUUUUUCUAGCCAUUGGAGUAAUUUUUCUGAGCCAUUUUUGUUGCUGUGGCGACUGUGUGGAGCAUGAAAGACUAGGUAUGGGGUCGUCACAGUCACACCCAAUUUUUUUCAGCGCUCAAUGAGCUGCUAAGAGCGAAGGGCGCAAAAGAAUAUUUUUUGGGUCAUAGUCAAACUUCUGUAUCUCCGUGGAAUACCCAAAAUUUUGUUAUCAGAAAGAAAUCAGGCAAAUGGAGGUUAUUACAGGAUCUGCAAGCUAUUAAUGCACAGUUGCAGGUGAUGGACUCCAUUCAGAGGGGUUUGUCUCUCUUAUAUGCCCUGCCAGAAAAGUGGCCUCUAAUAGUAAUUGAUAUUAAAGAUGGUUUCUUUUCCAUUCCCUUGAAUUUGAAAGAUAGUGUUAGAUUUGCUUUUACUUUGCCCUCCUGUGAUCAUGAAGAGCUUGAUCAAAGAUUUGAGUGGGUGGUGUUGCCUCAAGGAAGGGCUCAGAGUCCUACCAUGUGCCAGCUUUAUGUAGGAAAAGCAUUGGAACCAAUUAGGAAAGAAUAUCCCAAACUUCACUGUGUUCAUUACAUCCUACUUGCAGCAAAGGAUGAAAAGUAUUUGCAGGAAGCCUAUGGAAAGAUGGUGGAGAGUUUGAGGCAAUGGGGUUUGCAUAUUGCACCAGAGAAAGUGCAACAAGAGAAAAUAGACUCUUGUUUAGGAGCAAGGAUUGCCCCUACGGUCCUUUGGCCUCAAAAGAUACAAUUGAGGGUUGAUUCCUUGCAUACUUUGUUUCAAAUUUUAGAAGGAGACUCAGAGUUAAGUUCCGAAAGGGAAUUAACACCUGAGGCUAGAAAGGCCCUUACCCUAGUGGAAGAAGAAUUGAUUAAAGCCCAGUUUCAGCGUUGUAGAGAAGGGUUACCCAUCAUUUUGAUAAUAUUACCUACUGAGUUGCAACCCACAGGACUAUUGUGGCAAGAAGGUCCAUUGUUAUGGAUCCAUUCCAAAAUAUCUGCUGGGAGGACAUUAGAUCAUUACCCUACAACAGUGGCUUCUUUAGCCUUGUUGGGAAUUCAGCAUUGUUUACAAUAUUUUGGUAUAAAACCCAGCUCUAUUGUAAUCCCCUAUGAUAGGUAUCAGCAAAAGGUCCUAACAACAAAUAUUGAUGAGUGGGCUAUUUUAGCCUGUAUUAAUGAGGGCCCAUUUGAUAAAACACAGCCUACCAUAUAAUCCUCAAGGCCAGGGAAUCAUUGAACGAGCACAUAGAACCUUAAAAGAAUUACUAAUAAAACAAAAAGGGGGAAUAGGCUAUGGCCACACCACAAAGAUAAGAAAUUUUUUGCAAUUGGAUAAGGAAGGUCACUCUGCUGCUGAACGAUAUGCUAAUACCAGCUCCAGUAAAGUGGGGUAUGCUAAAUGGAAGGAUGUGCUUACAGGAUCAUGGAAUGGUCCGGAUCCUGUGUUAGCCUGGGGGAGAGGGUCUGUUUGCAUGUUUCCACAGAAUCUCGAAGAGCCAGUGUGGGUUCCAGAGAGGCUAGUGCGACGCUGUCAAAAUGAAGAAGCUGAUCUUGCUGGUGAUGAGCACGUGUCUGCCCCUGAUGGGUGCGGAACCCAGAUGGGGAAUACUGUUGGUGUUUAAAGAGGACUGCAAAUUUGAUGGCAAAAUGAAUGAGCUUCGCUCGGCAAUGGUCACCGUGAAUUCUACCUGAGUGGAUCCUGGCUUGGCAUCGGCAAAGAAUGGACUGGGAUAGGUGCCUUUGCUAUGGCCCUUGUUUUGGCAUGCAUGUUGUGUGUAUGGUGUAUGUGUCGGUUGCGGAAUGCCCAGGUCCACACUGCCGCCAUGGUGGUGCAAGCUUUUGCCACAGUGAAAGCAGGGAGUCACCUCAGAUUUGGCUUGCUACCAUGAAGAGUGAACAAUGAAGCCAUCGCUCCAUAGGGUUGUACGGCUAAGCACUGCACAGAGAGAACCUGGCAGCUCAAACCCACUGCAGGGAGACAUGGGAAGACAGACCAGGACAGACUCACUUGAGGUCACCCAGCCUAGCAGCUGUGUAAGGACAAACAGACAGGGGACAUGGAAGAGCAGAGAGGGCUUUCGGUGAUUUUCCAUGCCCAGCAGAGCUGAAGAAAAAAAAACAGAAGAGGCGGAUCAACACCUUAAGGCAGGAGAGAACCCUGGUGUCUACACACAGCCACCGCAGCAGGAGUAACAAGGGGACAACUAAGGAGCCCCAGAGAGGAGCCAAGGCAGAAACCACAGGGAGCACAGAUGCUGAAGGAGAGGGACAGAAGGAGUGGACAGGAAGCCGGGGCUGAAGACAGACAGACUGCCUUGAAGAUCCAACAAUGACAAACUGCCCACUCCAGUUUGAGCUCUGAAAACCACCAAGCCUCAAGAGCCAAGGCUCCUGGGGCUGGAGAGACCGCUCAGAGAGUCAAGGCUCCUGGCACUGCAGGCCCGAGGCGUGUGGCAGUGUGGUACUAACUGUGAUUGGAGCUGAGGACACAAACACCCAGAGACCACCUUGGGGCGCGAACGCCACUGUGCUCCCUGGUGCUGCUGCCAAUCUCUCCCACUGGAAGCUGGGUGUCUCACAGCUGUCAAGUGCUGGAAUGGCUACUAGCUGAAGAACAGAGCAAACACCAGGUGCCAGUGAAAUUACUUUCCAUCCAUAAAGAAUAAAAAACUCAUCUGCAGUAUCUUCAACUUUUGCCUAUUUACGUGAUUGCUGCUAGAUUUAAAACAGGGUUUCGCAAGCGGUCCAUGACCUCGUCUGCCCAACAAAGACGGUUCAAGUCUAUUCUUAGGGUGUGACAAAUCUUCCUGAGAACGAGAUAACCCCAAAAGCCUCCCAGCCAUGGGUCUCCCAGGACAUAACUGAUACUCAAAGGACCCAGGGACCCUUAGGGACGAGCUCAUUCAUCUCUCCCAAUCCUUCCUUCACCCAACACAGACUCCCUGACCCAGGCUGGCCCUGCCUCCUGUGCCGAAGCCAAAAGGCAUGACAUUCAAAGGUACUGGCUUAGCUCACUGACCAGGGCAGGGGCACCAUCUGGUUGAGGGACACUCCAUCCCACCUGGUUCUCAGCCCUAAGGAACAGGGCAUUUCCCUGAACCACCCUUCUCCCUCCUAGGACAGACUUUCCGGAAGACAUCUAUACUAUUGAAGAUAAGCACCGUAGGAGUUUAGCUGAUGUGAUGGAAGUUGAUUCUCUUCUGUACCUGCUGGCCAUGCAAUACAAGCAGAGCUUGGUUCCUUUGUAUGCAGAGGAGAGGGAGCAAGCAGGGUACGAUGACCAGUCUCCACUGACAACUAGACUGGAUGGUGAGUCGCCCAGGAGACACACACCUCUGUGAGAGCCCGUUAGGGUGUUUCCGAGGAUACGUAACUGAGUAGAGAAGAGCCACCCUGAAAGCAGUCACCCUGUCCCAUGAGCCAGGGCAGCCAGCAGAAGAAAUCAGGAGGAAGUGAGCUGAGCUUGAGCAUCCAUUUUGCUUCCUGCCUGUGAGCAGGAUGUGACCAGCAAUCACGUUCCUGAUGUCUUCCUUCUCCGCUGGAACAGACUUUAUCCCCUCAGACCUUGGGCUGAAAUAAAGCUUUCCUUCCUUC
Mus musculus (house mouse) is the source of this 3935-nucleotide long non-coding RNA. RefSeq annotates it as predicted gene, 31560. Lineage: Eukaryota; Metazoa; Chordata; Mammalia; Rodentia; Muridae. The transcript is spliced from 5 exons. The record is from RefSeq and is a predicted model, not a curated record.